This 21-nucleotide unclassified non-coding RNA is filed under the name Mus musculus (house mouse). RNAcentral describes it as "oocyte_clustered_small_RNA391". Lineage: Eukaryota; Metazoa; Chordata; Mammalia; Rodentia; Muridae. The record is from RNAcentral.
UGUGCGCCUGGGACUGCUGCU